CCUACGGGAGGCAGCAGUGGGGAAUAUUGCACAAUGGGGGAAACCCUGAUGCAGCGACGCCGCGUGAGUGAAGAAGUAUUUCGGUAUGUAAAGCCCUAUCAGCAGGGAAGAAAAUGACGGUACCUGACUAAGAAGCCCCGGCGAACAACGUGCCAGCAGCCGCGGGAAUACGUAGGGGGCAAGCGUUAUCCGGAUUUACUGGGUGUAAAGGGAGCGUAGACGGCAGCGCAAGUCUGAAGUGAAAUCCCCUGGCUUAACCAUGGAACUGCUUUUGAAACUGUGCAGCUGGAGUGCAGGAGAGGGAAGCGGAAUUCGUGGUGUAGCGGUGAAAUGCGUAGAUAUUAGGAGGAACACCAGUGGCGAAGGCGGCUUACUGGACUGUAACUGACGUGGAGGCACGAAAGCGUGGGGAGCAAACAGGAUUAGAUACCCCUGUAGUC
This 440-nucleotide ribosomal RNA is filed under the name uncultured bacterium. RNAcentral's name for it is "partial 16S ribosomal RNA". It matches the Rfam family "Bacterial small subunit ribosomal RNA", at positions 338 to 795 of the family's 1533-position model. The record is from RNAcentral.